Molecule: transfer RNA, 77 nt
Filed under: bacterium
Lineage: Bacteria
Description: tRNA-Pro
Rfam family: tRNA
About the family: Transfer RNA (tRNA) molecules are approximately 80 nucleotides in length.
Source: RNAcentral
CGGAAAGUUGCACAGCUUGGUAGUGCGCCUGGUUUGGGACCAGGAUGUCGCAGGUUCAAAUCCUGUCUUUCCGACCA